GACUGAGGAAGGAGAAACAGACCAAAUCACAGUCUGGGAAGGGGAUGGUGGCCAGAGGUGGGGUCCGGCCUGGACGGCUGUGGCUGCUUCUCUGUGGUCAUACUUCAGGGACUGUUUCCGUGGGCACUUGGGGGACAGAGGGAGUGAACAGUAGGAGAGUCAUCUGGAUCCGUUAAAGUAAUAGAGC
RNAcentral lists this long non-coding RNA (187 nucleotides) under Dasypus novemcinctus (nine-banded armadillo). RNAcentral describes it as "lncRNA (ENSDNOG00000051403.1)". The record is from RNAcentral. Lineage: Eukaryota; Metazoa; Chordata; Mammalia; Cingulata; Dasypodidae.